This is a long non-coding RNA of Pongo pygmaeus (Bornean orangutan), 386 nucleotides long. RefSeq lists it as uncharacterized. The transcript is spliced from 4 exons. The record is from RefSeq and is a predicted model, not a curated record. Lineage: Eukaryota; Metazoa; Chordata; Mammalia; Primates; Hominidae.
UAACCCUGGAAGUCAUAUGUUAAGGAUGGCAGAGCUGAAAGAUGGAAGAAUCCUGAAUCCCUGAACCACCCACUGUAGGAGAGUCACCUGCCAAGUAGGAACACCUGUUUUGGUUUUAAGACCUGCAUGGCUCUGACCUGAUGCGGCUUGAAGGGGAUGUGCAUUUUUUUGGAAUUGAGUGCACUCUGCACAUUUGGGAGCCUGGGGAUAGCACAGGGACUCCUUGAGGUCUGAACAAGAACCACUGAUGCAGAACGUGAAGACUGGAAGUGUUCAUUAGCGACCACCCUUUGUUUGACUGAUGAGGAAAUCAAGGCUGAUGAUGUCCUGAUAAAUAACAACUUGCCUACAAGAGCCAGAGAAAUUUUGAAAUGCCUGACAUUGUA